GCUGAUAUUAGUCUUGAUGUUGGACAGGCAUGUAAAUAUGUAAAAUAGCCCUUAAAUAAUGAGCUGGAAACCUGUUUCAAACUGUAAGGAGUAGAGAGUACCGAGUGUUUGGACGUGUUGGUAGAAAAAUAGAUGUUCAGGUAAAGUACAGAUCCCUGAUAAGAUUAUUGACGACAGUUAAAUACCUCAUUUUUAGAGUCCAUUUCUGCAUAUUUUUGUCCUGAAACCCAAAAAGUGAGAUAUUCGUCUGAGUCCCUCUCACAGAGGGUUUAAAAGACUCCUCCGUAUCUGUUCUUUCUCUCUGCAAUGUUCCAGCGGCUACAGCUGAUAUCAGCCCUCUCCUCCACACACCCCAGGGCAAGAAAAGAAUAAGAAAAAAAAAAAGCUCCAUCUUUAACUUUAAAUGAGCUGUAAUGGCGUCUGGGGGCCUUUCCCCAGAUCCAAUACGGCCCCGCAUCCUGCAGACACACGGGGGCUUUUCAAUUCGCAGGGCCAAAGGUGCGAGUAUUAUCUGGAGAUUCAUUCUCAGGGCUCAAAUGGAAGAAUGAAAAGUGAGGCUUAACUCACCUGCCUUUUUGUGAGCUUGAUGCAGCUCAUUCUCCAUUCAGCAGCAGCAAUCUUCAAACCAAACCAGGAGGAGGAGGAGGAGGAGGAGGAGGAGGAGAGAGUGCCUUUUAGUCAGAUGACUUCCCCAUCAGGACAGGCACAGGUGGUUAGUCAUGUGAUUUACCAAUUUGGUUCUAGGUCAUAAAAAAAGAGGAAAUUUGUUAAAUCUCUGAAUACUUCGUUUUCGGAUAACCAUUAUUCAGUAAUAGUGUUGUCAAUGGUAGCAUGAAUUCUCCAAAGGUGUGGACUCGAGUCAUGUCAGACUUCGAACUGCAUGUAACAGUUAUGUAAUACGGAAUGUACUCACUGCGGAUCCUGUAUAUUUUCAGAGUAGGAGCUCAACCUGCAGCUGCUUUAAUGUCAACUUUCAAACUGUUCUUUCACCACAGUGGAGAUUCUGUGAUGUCACAAAGUUCCGGAACUCCCUUGAAUCACAAAGUUCCGGAACUCCCUUGAAGUUCCGGAACUCCCUUGAUGUUGACGUUGAUGUUGUUGAGAUGGGUUCUCUUUGGCCAGGCUUCCAGAGAGCUGACCAAUCAGAAGAAAGUGGGUUUGUCAGGAGGAGGAACUUAAAGAGACAGAAACAAGACUGAAGCAACAGGUGAGAGUAUUUGAAGACCAGCCUGAGGUAAUCAGGGUUUCAUUUGCAAUAAAUCAUAUAAAGUUAAUAUAGAAAAUGAAACUAAACAAAGGCUGAAAAAUUCGAACCAUACCCCCUCUUUAGCUUUAACAGUGUAAGUAUUUUAACUUAAACCUAGAUCUUUUCUGUGAAACUGUACCACGUAUUUUGAUGACUGUUGGUGUCAAUUUUGAUGCCUCCUGUGGACCGGGUGAUCUCAUGACUGAUUUUUCACAUACAUGUGAAAGCAGUGAUUUUAGCCAUCAAAGUCUCAUUGUCCUUGCUCGUGACUGUCAAACACUCACUGUGAAUAUUUGUAGUGAAAAAGUUAAGAGAGUCUGUUUUUCCAGCCUGCUGUCAAUAAUCUAAUAGUCUACCACCCGCCCCCUCACAAAGGUUACAGACAUCAGAAAUUACAGCAUCAAAACUGUCAAUCUGGGUAUCUGAAACAGACAGUGACGCGACCGUUGGUUAACCACAAACUAGCCAAUCAGAUAUCAGCUCCAUUGUCUUCCUGCCAAAAGUUACACCAUUUCUGAUGUAGAUGUAAUUCGAAUUAAGGUUACGCUCAUCCCAAAGAGGCUCGGGGCGUAAUACCUGAGAAUUGUCGGGGGUUUUGACCAAUCAGAAUCAAGUAUUUGCACCAGAUGAAUAAGAUUUCAUAGAAGCUGCUGCCAUAAGUUAUGUUGAGUGUUUACGUGGCUCAUACAGUCUAAAAUACCACAAAAUCACCUGUAAGAGAAAAAAGCCUUGGCUGUCUGUCUGUCUGUGAUCUGGACAUGCUUUAUCCUUGCAAAUUUAAUUGAUAAAAGACGCUCAAUUUACCCCCACAGAUGUACAAAAUGUAAUUUUUUCCAGAUAAUUUCAAUGUCUGCAGUCAGUCUGGCUGAUUCUCCUCCAGUUUUACACCCAAAUCCAGCGUGGGAGGCAGGGCCGAGGAGUGCACAUCACAUUUUCUGGUUUUUAUUUUAAAGCUGACGUGCUGUCAGAAGAAGUGUUGCUUGGUGGCUGGAUAUGUGCCGAAAUGAAGAGCAAACCUGUUAGUGAGUAAACACAUUAUUUGAUGUUUUGUCUGCUCUCAUUUUCUCUCACGUCUUCAGUAUUUUACAAGUAUAUCCUCCUCUUCUUCUUAGUCUCCAUUCGACGCCUCGGCUCUGCCCUCGGUCCUCGCUUUCACUCCUGUUCCUCUCUGUCUUUAUUCAGUUUAGGUUUGAUUCAGUUUGCUUUAUUGGCGUGAACGUUGGAGGACCAGAGCAGCUGAAUCGGAUGAAUAAUAGUCAUACAAAAUAUCCACAACAUGAAAUAAGUGGCUCUGCAUCCCUCUCUCCCUCUUUUGUCACACUCUGUCAUAUUCGGCUGCCCUCCGCUGUCUCGCUUACACACUUGUAGUCUCGCCGCACACACUCGCAGAGCCUCCCAGCCCUCUCAGGGUUUUUUCUCCAUCACUGCUCAGAUUAAUCAGCAGCUUCCUGCCAGUGUCUGACAGUUUUCCCCUAGUUGGCCGGCCUCCAAAUCAGACAGUGUUAGACAUCAGCUCACUGUCCUGUCUGACUCUCUCUCUCUCUCUUUCUCGCUCGCUCUGUUUCUUUUACAAUCCCAUUUUUUCCUGAACUUUCUCAGUAUUUUUGCCACCCUACAGGAAUGAAAAUAGCAGCACCGUUUUUCUGUAUGUAACAUGAAUGACAUUCAUCAGUUCAGUCUGUGCACAUUAUCAUUAUUUUACACACACAGCACUGAAGCAGCAGGAAAACUGUGUACCUAACAUUAUGGCUGUCAGUCAGUUAAUGUUAAAAUAUCCUGAUUAAUUCCUGAUCUUCAUUAGUUUAUCACCAUUAAUCACAUUUGUCACAUCUCAUUAACAUUUUGAUUCACUGAUCGGAGCAGGAGUCCCACGCUGCAGACACAGCGGAGCUCUGUUAGCAUGUGUGCAGUUGGACUUUGGUUGGACCUCUGUUAGCUAGAGUGGGAGGCUGGGCUUCUGCUUGGUUACUGGAAAACAAGGCGAUCUCAGCAUGAUCCUCAGCUAGGAAUUAUUGUGGUUCAACUUUGGCAAUUUUAUUUCACCAGUGUCCUUGAUUUGGGAAUGAGCCGAACUCAACUUUUAGAUUUACUACUCAGUUAAAUGCUGACGGCUACACCAGUCUGCUCUGAAACCAUUACUAGAGGUAGGAGACAGCUUCAAGGUUCUUAAACUAUCAAUUACAGGGUUUCUUUUUAAAGCACUGCCAUGCUAAGAAAUGUCCAAUUAGUGUGAGUAUGGUGUGCAGCUAUUCUGAGAUCAUUUUGAUAACUCGCUGAUGUGCAGCGAUCCCUGAUUAAUGCAACAGAAUCACUCAGUGUGUUUACAUGCACAGCUUCAUCGGACUAAGCUCAUCAUUUGUUUUUUUCACCGAAUCGGACUUCUCUCCUUGUCCGCGUAUACAUGCAGGUGAGAAAAUCGAAUUGUUGACGUGAACAUGUCCUCCUCCCCAACACUAGGGGGCAGUAUGGCUCUUUCAGCG
This 3726-nucleotide long non-coding RNA is filed under the name Xyrichtys novacula (pearly razorfish). Lineage: Eukaryota; Metazoa; Chordata; Actinopteri; Labriformes; Labridae. The record is from RNAcentral.